This 492-nucleotide ribosomal RNA is filed under the name uncultured Hymenobacter sp. RNAcentral describes it as "partial 16S ribosomal RNA". Lineage: Bacteria; Pseudomonadati; Bacteroidota; Cytophagia; Cytophagales; Hymenobacteraceae. The record is from RNAcentral.
CACGGAGUUAGCCGGUGCUUAUUCUGCAGGUACCGUCAUCACACUACACGUAGUGCUUAUUCUUCCCUGUCAAAAGCAGUUUACGACUCAGAAAGCCUUCUUCCUGCACGCGGCAUGGCUGGGUCAGGCUCUCGCCCAUUGCCCAAUAUUCCCUACUGCUGCCUCCCGUAGGAGUCGGGCCCGUAUCUCAGUGCCCGUGUGGGGGACCAGCCUCUCAGCUCCCCUAGUCAUCGUCGCCUUGGUAAGCCGUUACCUUACCAACUAGCUAAUGACCCGCAACCCCAUCUAUAACCAAUAAAUCUUUACUAUUCGAGUGAUGCCACUCAAGUAGCUUAUGCGGUAUUAAUCCGCCUUUCGGCGGGCUAUCCCCCAGUUAUAGGUAGGUUAGUUACGUGUUACGCACCCGUGCGCCACUAUGGUAUUGCUACCACCGUUCGACUUGCAUGUAUUAGGCCUGCCGCUAGCGUUCAUCCUGAGCCAGGAUCAAACUCU